CCUAGGAUCAAAGAGGCAUUAAACCUUGAAGAUGAAACCUUUGGUGAAACUGGGAGACAUGCUGCAGGUUCCUGGUUAGCCCAAUCUGUCUGGGAGUUGUCUGGAAUCCAUGGAUCUGCCUCUGAUGGAAAACCUUAUACUUGGAAGUGUUAAACUUCAUCUGGUUCCAGUCUACCCAACUCUUGAGCCUAUCCGGGUCUGCCUGUAUCAGCAAGCUAUCUUCUGACUUGACCACACUGCCCCAUAACUUGGUGUUGUCCGCAAACUUGGCCAGCGAACUUUUCACUCCCCCAUCCAAAUCAUUGAUAAAGAUGUUGAAAAGCACCAGACCAAGCAUGGAUCUCUGAGGGACACCAUCGGCCACUUCGUGCCAGGACAACACAGAUCCGUUCAUGAGAACUCUCUGGGUCCCACCCUGUA
Alligator sinensis (Chinese alligator) is the source of this 420-nucleotide long non-coding RNA. RefSeq lists it as uncharacterized. The record is from RefSeq and is a predicted model, not a curated record. NCBI's taxonomy places the organism in Eukaryota, Metazoa, Chordata, Crocodylia, Alligatoridae. The transcript is spliced from 3 exons.